CGGGUUUCGGGACGACGGAACCGUGAUUAAAUUGGUUCGUUGUCGACGAAACCUGCA
Molecule: precursor RNA, 57 nt
Filed under: Spodoptera frugiperda (fall armyworm)
Lineage: Eukaryota; Metazoa; Arthropoda; Insecta; Lepidoptera; Noctuidae
Description: partial precursor microRNA 106
Rfam family: mir-981 microRNA precursor family
Source: RNAcentral